Molecule: ribosomal RNA, 412 nt
Filed under: uncultured bacterium
Lineage: Bacteria
Description: SSU rRNA
Rfam family: Bacterial small subunit ribosomal RNA
Source: RNAcentral
CGGACGGGUGAGUAACGCGUGGGUAACCUACCCCUAAGAUUGGGAUAAGCAGAGGGAAACUUCUGCUAAUACCGAAUAUACUUGUUGGAUCGCAUGGUCUGACAAGGAAAGGUGGCCUCUGACAUAAGCUACCGUUUAGGGAUGGACCCGCGUCUGAUUAGCUAGUUGGUGAGGUAACGGCUCACACAAGGCGAUGAUCUGUAGCCGGCCUGAGAGGGUGAACGGCCACACUGGGACUGAGACACGGCCCAGACUCCUACGGGAGGCAGCAGUGGGGAAUCUUCCGCAAUGGGCGAAAGCCUGACGGAGCAACGCCGCGUGAAUGAUGAAGGCCUUCGGGUCGUAAAGUUCUGUCUUUAGGGAAGAAUGUCAUCUUUGUGAAUAAUGAUGGGUGAAUGACGGUACCUUUAGA